Vicia villosa (hairy vetch) is the source of this 911-nucleotide long non-coding RNA. RefSeq lists it as uncharacterized. NCBI's taxonomy places the organism in Eukaryota, Viridiplantae, Streptophyta, Magnoliopsida, Fabales, Fabaceae. The record is from RefSeq and is a predicted model, not a curated record. The transcript has 3 exons.
GCUUCUCCUCCCUUCAAUAUUCCACCGGCGGCGGAACGGUUCUCUCUCCCUUCACUUUUAAACUCGCGGCGGUGAUGUACAUCAUCUCCGGCGAGACUUCGACCUUGCUCUCUCGUUUCGUUCUCCGUACUCUCUUCGUCUCUUGCGUUCUCAAUCGCUCUCUGCGUUCAUUCUCACCUCGGUUCUCAGCCUCUACUUAUGGAUUCAACAUGAUGAUGAGGUUGAUGAUUCUCUGCAGUUGCGAUGAAAAUGAUUUGGUUGCGAUUCUCAGAGCUGGACAACGAUUGAAGAUUUGAUGGAUAUCGAAUCUUGAUUGAAGAUGGUGAAGGUUGAAGCGGUGAUGAAGGUACUGAGCGAAAGAUGAAGAAUGGUGAAGGUUUAGAAUGAAGAAUGGAAGAGGUUGAAGAUGAGAAAAAAGAGGUUGAAAAGAGGAGGCCGUGAAGGUGAUGGAGAUGGAAGAAAGAUGGAGGAGGAUCGAAGGGUGUGGAAAACCAGAAGUGAAGAUUGUGAAUGGUGAAGAAAGCUUUGAAGAGGGAGUUGAAGAUUGAGAGAGUGGAGGAGAGUUCUGAAUGAUGGUGGUUCUGAUUUAUAGAAGCUCCUCAGGGGUUGUGAUGUUAAAAGCUCAUGAAGAAGAGGAAAAGAAUUGAAGGAGAAUUAGCUCUUGAAGACUCGAUCACAUGAAUACUGUAUGAUAGGCUUUAGGAAGUCAAUUGAAUUAGUCGGAGAGUCAACAAGUCAACGGUCAACCGUGGCUUUUCUUUUGUAAUUUUCUUUUGUAAUUUUCUUUUUGUUGUAAUAAUUGAAACUUGUAACAACUUGUAUUCCACGUGGCUUGAACUUUAUAAUUGUGACGAACUUAUGACGGUGACUUAUGUUCCAAACAGUGUGAAAUGAAUGGUUUCCUUCUCUUC